This 1374-nucleotide ribosomal RNA is filed under the name metagenome. RNAcentral's name for it is "bacterial SSU rRNA". It matches the Rfam family "Bacterial small subunit ribosomal RNA". The record is from RNAcentral.
CUCCUGGAUCAACCGCGACGGACGGGUGGUAAUACCUGGGAGUCUACCUGGUAGUGGGGAUAACGUCCGGAAACGGGCGCUAAUACCGCAUACGUCCUGAGGGAGAAAGUGGGGGAUCCUCGGACCUCACGCUAUCAGAUGAGCCAGGUCGGAUUAGCUAGUUGCGGGGUAAAAGGCCUACCACCGGGCACGAUCCGUAACUGGUCUGAGAGGAUGAUCAGUCACACUGAACUGAGACACGGUCCAGACUCCUGGGAGGCAGCAGUGGGGAAUAUUGGACAAUGGGCGAAAGCCUGAUCCAGCCAUGCCGCGUGUGAAGAAGGUCUUCGGAUUGUAAAGCACUUUAAAGUUGGGAGGAAGGCAGUAACGUAAUACCUUGCUUCUUGGCACAACAGCUAACUUCGUGCCAGCAGCCGCGGCAAUACGAAGGUGCAAGCGUUAAUCGGAAUUACUGAGGCGUAAAGCGCGCGUAGGUGGUUCAGCAAGUUGAUGUGAAAUCCCCGGCUCAACCUGGGAACUGCAUCCAAAAACUACUGAGCUAGAGUACGGUAGAGGGUGGUGGAAUUCCUGAGUAGCGGUGAAAGUGCGUAGAUAUAGGAACACCAGUGGCGAAGGCGACCUGGACCACCGACACUACUGAGGUGCGAAAGCGGGGAGCAACAGGAUGAUACCCUGGUAGUCCCACGCCAUGUCGAUAAAUAGCCGUUGGGAUCCUUGAGAUCUUAGUGGCGCAGCUAACGCGCGAUAAGUCGACCGCCUGGGAGUACGGCCGCAAGGUUCAAAUGAAUUGACUGGGGUACAAGCGGCAGGUGGAGCAUGGUUUAAUUCGAAGCAACGCGAAGAACCUUAUCUGGCUGAGAACUUUCCAGAUGGAUUGGUGCCUUCGGGAACUCAGACACAGGUGCUGCAUGGCUGUCGUCAGCUCGUGUCGGCCGAGAUUUGGGUUCAGUCCCGUAACGAGCGCAACCCUUGUCCUUGCCAGCACCUCGGGUGGGCACUCUAAGGAGACCGCCGGUAUACGCCGGAGGAAGGUGGGGAUGACGUCAAGUCAUUGGCCCUUACGGCGUAGAGCUACACGUGCUACAAUGGUCGGUACAAAGGUUGCCAAGCCGCGAGGUGGAGCUAAUCCAUAAACCGAUCGUAGUCCGGAUCGCAGUCUGCAACUCGACUGCGGAAGUCGAAUCGCUAGUAAUCGUGAAUCAGAAUGUCACGGUGAAUACGUUCCCGGGCCUGCACACCGCCCGUCACACCAUGGGAGUGGGUUGCUCCAGGAAUAGCUAGUCCCUAACCACCGAGGACAGACCUGUCACCAUGGAGAUUCCGGCCUUCGAGGGGCGAAGGCCAACAAGGCAGCCGUAGGGGAACCUGCGGCUG